UGGUGCCAGCAGCCGCGGUAAUUCCAGCUCCAGAAGCGUAUAUUAAAGUUGUUGCAGUUAAAAAGCUCGUAGUUGGAUCUGGGUCGCAUGGCUACAUGCUGUUCUUGUACACUUGACUUUGUUGAGUGUGCGGGUCGGCGUCGUGGUUGUGCAGCCUUCCUGCCGUGUCUGUUUCGACAGGUGCUGGGUAAGUCUACUAGAUUUCUCGGCAUGCUUCCAGAUGCCUUUAACCGGGUGUCGGGAGCGGACGGCACGUUUACUUUGAACAAAUUUGAGUGCUCAAAGCAGGCCGUUGAGCCUGAAAAUUCUUGCAUGGAAUAAUGGAAUAGGACUUCGGUUCUAUUUUGUUGGUUUUCGUAUCCGAAGUAAUGGUUAAGAGGGACAGACGGGGGC
This 393-nucleotide ribosomal RNA is filed under the name Lasiotocus choanura. RNAcentral's name for it is "SSU rRNA". It matches the Rfam family "Eukaryotic small subunit ribosomal RNA", at positions 562 to 889 of the family's 1831-position model. Lineage: Eukaryota; Metazoa; Platyhelminthes; Trematoda; Plagiorchiida; Monorchiidae. The record is from RNAcentral.